AACCCGUCCGAGGGAAGCUGAAUGGACGGAUCCAGAGAAACGUCACGGCCAGCCGCAGCCAUGAAGACCGUGCGGUCCAACCUCCAGGAGCUCAGAUGCUCUCCGUCUCCGGAGCCGCUCGUUGCGCAUGGAGUCCAGCGGCUGCAGGCGACAGUGUAAGAAUGUGUCCGGUGUUGGCCGGCCUGCGGUGUGGGUGGAUGGGUAGCCUUCGGGGUUGGUUGUUAUCUUUGGUUAUCUAGCUGUAUGAGUGAUGUACAUUCUUCAUAAAGCUAGAUAACCGAAAGUAACAAGAAUCCCAUUACACUCCUGAAAAGGCAUCAAGACCCAAAAUGUAUCUUCAUCCAACAACAGGAACAUCAACAAAAACAUAAAAAUCAUGCAUUCUUCCACCUGAACAGUGACACAAGUGAAGAAAACGAGCAACAUUUGAACCAACAUGGAACAAGGAGCACUGACAGGCACCAUACCAGUGAAGGAAAGCUGGCAAAAAGCAGACUGAAAAACAGAGAGUGAAGGAGGAGGGGUUGCUGUUGAUUCUGCCCUCCCUUUCUCCUCGCCCUCCUCUGCAUCGCCUCUCCCCUCCUCCUCUUCCUUCUCCCAUCCUCUGCUCCAUCCUCAGCAGACUGCCCCUUUUUUCCUGUACAAUGAGACGCAGCCCACGCCACCAUCUUAGAGCAACGCUGGCAUGAAAUGGAAGUGGGAAGACCACGCAGUGCAGGUGAAAGUUGUGGGUGUAUGGAGGGACGAUGCACAAAAUUAAGGAUGUAUUUGACAAUGCGUGUGCAUAUGACCUUGUGGUGGUGAUUUUGGAGCCCUUCCCUCAUUUCGGCCUGGACAUUGACCAUAAUGAGUUCUAUGCAUCUCAAGUUAGCAUAUAGUGGAGUGGAGUGAACAGUGAACUGUCACUGUGGAAACAAGGUUUGGAGAGAAGCUGAGUCAUUGAGGCAUGGACAGAUUAGCCCCAUGAGUCAGGUGUUUGUAUUUUUAUGUGAAUAAUAUUGGACUUUUUAAUUAUUAUUGUAAACAUAUUACCACUUGAUCUAUGAUGUAUCUUCACUGACUUCUUAAGUGGAACUGUAGCCCAUGUUAUGUUCAGUUUCAUUUUUGUCAGAGUUGCUAGGAAUCAAAGACACAUGAAUGUAAUACCCACGGCA
Long non-coding RNA from Thalassophryne amazonica, 1154 nucleotides. RefSeq lists it as uncharacterized. The record is from RefSeq and is a predicted model, not a curated record. The transcript has 4 exons. NCBI's taxonomy places the organism in Eukaryota, Metazoa, Chordata, Actinopteri, Batrachoidiformes, Batrachoididae.